This is a non-coding RNA of Monodelphis domestica (gray short-tailed opossum), 535 nucleotides long. The record is from RefSeq and is a predicted model, not a curated record. Lineage: Eukaryota; Metazoa; Chordata; Mammalia; Didelphimorphia; Didelphidae.
CAAGAAGCUAUAGUAUGCAGGGUGGCCACACACCAUCUCAGCACAUGGGAUGAACUGAUGGUUCUCCAACCCAUCAGGGAGCGAGAGGGUUAUCGACCCCAAACAGGAAUGACCCACAUUUAGGGAGCUGUCCCUCAUAUUCAAUUCUGCUAGAGGCUGAGCCUUUCGUGCCUCAGGGGACAAAGAAGUCGAACCAAUCAUUCCAGCUCUAUUUCUCCAGGACGACCAAAUCCCAAGGAUGGCAGCUCCUGUCAUAAGACCUGACAUCUGCUGCUUAUUUGAAUGGUUGUUUGGCAAGAGUUUAGAUUAGUCAUGGUGGUCAGAACUGGAGGAAACAAUUUGGUGGUCAUGGCAACCACAAUCCCUAUGGUACUGGCAUGAUGGAAAUAGCUCAUAAACGUGUGCUCCCUUCCUGAGUGGUUCAUGGCUGAGAUGAGAUGCUUCUUUAAGGUAAAGUCCCCAUGCUCCUCAAGAUCACCCUCCUGUCCCAUUAAUCUAAACCCACGUUGACUCUGUUGUUUCUUUUGUAACUCUU